RNAcentral lists this ribosomal RNA (253 nucleotides) under uncultured bacterium. RNAcentral's name for it is "partial 16S ribosomal RNA". It matches the Rfam family "Bacterial small subunit ribosomal RNA", at positions 524 to 776 of the family's 1533-position model. The record is from RNAcentral.
UACGGAGGGUGCAAGCGUUAAUCGGAAUUACUGGGCGUAAAGCGUGCGCAGGCGGUUUGUUAAGUCUGCUGUGAAAUCCCCGGGCUUAACCUGGGAAUUGCGCUUGAAACUAGCGGGCUUGAGUGUGGCAGAGGGGGGUGGAAUUCCACGUGUAGCAGUGAAAUGCGUAGAGAUGUGGAGGAACACCGAUGGCGAAGGCAGCCCCCUGGGUCAACACUGACGCUCAUGCACGAAAGCGUGGGGAGCAAACAGG